RNAcentral lists this ribosomal RNA (253 nucleotides) under uncultured bacterium. RNAcentral describes it as "partial 16S ribosomal RNA". It matches the Rfam family "Bacterial small subunit ribosomal RNA", at positions 524 to 776 of the family's 1533-position model. The record is from RNAcentral.
GACAGAGGAUGCAAGCGUUAUUCGGAAUCAUUGGGCGUAAAGCGCGCGCAGGCGGAUCAGCAAGUCAGAUGUGAAAUCUCGAAGCUCAACUUCGAAACUGCGUCUGAAACUGCUAGUCUAGAAUGUCGGAAGGGGCAGGGGAAUUUCACGUGUAGGGGUAAAAUCCGUAGAGAUGUGAAGGAACACCGGGGGCGAAGGCGCCUGCCUGGACGACUAUUGACGCUGAGGCGCGAAAGCGUGGGGAGCAAACAGG